Molecule: long non-coding RNA, 877 nt
Organism: Oncorhynchus keta (chum salmon)
Lineage: Eukaryota; Metazoa; Chordata; Actinopteri; Salmoniformes; Salmonidae
Exons: 3
Source: RefSeq, a predicted model, not a curated record
ACCCCCUGUAUAUUGCCUCCACAUUGACUCUGUACCGGUACCCCCUGUAUAUUGCCUCCACAUUGACUCUGUACCGGGACCCCCUGUAUAUAGCCUCCACAUUUACUCUGAACCGUUACCCCCUGUAUAUAGCCUCCACAUUGACUCUGUACCGGGACCCCCUGUAUAAAGCCUCCACAUUGACUGUAAGGUCUACCUACACCUGUUGUAUUCAGCAUUUCACUGUAAGGUCUACCUACACCUGUUGUAUUCAGCAUUUCACUGUAAGGUCUACCUACACCUGUUGUAUUCAGCAUUUCACUGUAAGGUCUACCUGCACCUGUUGUAUUCAGCAUUUCACUGUAAGGUCUACCUACACCUGUUGUAUUCAGCAUUUCACUGUAAGGUUUGCACCUGUUGUAUUCAGCAUUUCACUGUAAGGUUCGCACCUGUUGUAUUCAGCAUUUCACUGUAAGGUUUGCACCUGUUGUAUUCAGCAUUUCACUGUAAGGUUUGCACCUGUUGUAUUCAGCAUUUCACUGUAAGGUUUGCACCUGUUGUAUUCAGCAUUUCACUGUAAGGUUUGCACCUGUUGUAUUCAGCAUUUCACUGUAAGGUUUGCACCUGUUGUAUUCAGCAUUUCACUGUAAGGUCUACGUACACCUGUUGUAUUCAGCAUUUCACUGUAAGGUCUACGUACACCUGUUGUAUUCAGCAUUUCACUGUAAGGUUUGCACCUGUUGUAUUCAGCAUUUCACUGUAAGGUCUACCUACACCUGUUGUAUUCAGCAUUUCACUGUAAGGUCUACACCUGUUUUAUUUGGCGCAUGUGACAAAUACAAUUUGAUUUGACACAGUUGAAGAACGAAUUUGGAUUAGUAAAGAAUUACGGGAAACA